CAGUAGCCGCGGGAAUACGAAGGGUGCAAGCGUUACUCGGAAUUACUGGGCGUAAAGCGUGCGUAGGUGGUGGUUUAAGUCCGUUGUGAAAUCCCCGGGCUCAACCUGGGAACUGCAUCCAAAACUGGCAGGCUAGAGUAGGGCAGAGGGUGGUGGAAUUUCCUGUGUAGCGGUGAAAUGCGUAGAUAUAGGAAGGAACACCAGUGGCGAAGGCAGCCAUCUGGCCUAAUACUGACGCUGAGGUACGAAAGCAUGGGGAGCAAACAGGAUUAGAUACCCCAGUAGUCCCUGUCUCUUAUAC
Molecule: ribosomal RNA, 301 nt
Filed under: uncultured bacterium
Lineage: Bacteria
Description: partial 16S ribosomal RNA
Rfam family: Bacterial small subunit ribosomal RNA
Source: RNAcentral